RNAcentral lists this ribosomal RNA (467 nucleotides) under uncultured bacterium. RNAcentral's name for it is "partial 16S ribosomal RNA". It matches the Rfam family "Bacterial small subunit ribosomal RNA", at positions 29 to 507 of the family's 1533-position model. The record is from RNAcentral.
ACGAACGCUGGCGGCGUGCUUAACACAUGCAAGUCGAACGGAAAGGCCCUGCUUUUGUGGGGUGCUCGAGUGGCGAACGGGUGAGUAACACGUGAGUAACCUGCCCUUGACUUUGGGAUAACUUCAGGAAACUGGGGCUAAUACCGGAUAGGAGCUCCUGCUGCAUGGUGGGGGUUGGAAAGUUUCGGCGGUUGGGGAUGGACUCGCGGCUUAUCAGCUUGUUGGUGGGGUAGUGGCUUACCAAGGCUUUGACGGGUAGCCGGCCUGAGAGGGUGACCGGCCACAUUGGGACUGAGAUACGGCCCAGACUCCUACGGGAGGCAGCAGUGGGGAAUAUUGCACAAUGGGCGGAAGCCUGAUGCAGCAACGCCGCGUGCGGGAUGACGGCCUUCGAGUUGUAAACCGCUUUCGCCUGUGACGAAGCGUGAGUGACGGUAGUGGGUAAAGAAGCACCGGCUAACUACGUG